Corvus hawaiiensis (hawaiian crow) is the source of this 273-nucleotide long non-coding RNA. RefSeq lists it as uncharacterized. Lineage: Eukaryota; Metazoa; Chordata; Aves; Passeriformes; Corvidae. The transcript has 3 exons. The record is from RefSeq and is a predicted model, not a curated record.
ACCAAAUCCUGAGAGAUUCAUGGUUUCUGCACUAUGUCUUGAAGACUGGGUGCUGGAAGAAUGAAAUCUGUGAUGCUCAGUUAUGAAAUCCAAUACUGGUAAGAAGGAAUUUGUGAAGAAAUACUUGAUGAAGAAAGAACUAAUAUGGGUAAAGAAUGCUACUUAAAAGGAUCUUCUUACCACUACAGAUGAAGAGAAAAAAGAUGGGACACAUUGGACUUGUGAAUAUGUUCUUUCUACACCUGUUUUUGAUGACAAUAUACAAGAUAGAUG